UACGAGGGGUGCAAGCGUUGUUCGGAAUUAUUGGGCGUAAAGGGCAGGUAGGUUGUCUUGAAAGUCUACUGUGAAAUCCCCGGGCUCAACCCGGGAAGUGCGGUGGAUACUCCAAGACUAGAGUACUGGAGGGGUGCGUGGAAUUCCCGGUGUAGCGGUGAAAUGCGUAGAUAUCAGGAGGAACACCUGUGGCGAAAGCGGCGCACUGGACCACAACUGACGCUGAGGCGCGAAAGCUAGGGGAGCAAACAGG
RNAcentral lists this ribosomal RNA (253 nucleotides) under uncultured bacterium. RNAcentral describes it as "partial 16S ribosomal RNA". It matches the Rfam family "Bacterial small subunit ribosomal RNA", at positions 524 to 776 of the family's 1533-position model. The record is from RNAcentral.